This 1470-nucleotide ribosomal RNA is filed under the name metagenome. RNAcentral describes it as "bacterial SSU rRNA". It matches the Rfam family "Bacterial small subunit ribosomal RNA". The record is from RNAcentral.
AGAGUUUGAUCCUGGCUCAGGACGAACGCUGGCGGCACGCUUAACACAUGCAAGUCGAACGAGAGAAGAGGAGCUUGCUUUUCUGAUCUAGUGGCGGACGGGUGAGUAACACGUGAGCAAUCUGCCUUUCAGAGGGGGAUACCGAUUGGAAACGAUCGUUAAUACCGCAUAACAUAAUUGAACCGCAUGAUUUGAUUAUCAAAGAUUUAUCGCUGAAAGAUGAGCUCGCGUCUGAUUAGCUAGUUGGUAAGGUAACGGCUUACCAAGGCGACGAUCAGUAGCCGGACUGAGAGGUUGAUCGGCCACAUUGGGACUGAGACACGGCCCAGACUCCUACGGGAGGCAGCAGUGGGGAAUAUUGCACAAUGGAGGAAACUCUGAUGCAGCGAUGCCGCGUGAGGGAAGAAGGUUUUAGGAUUGUAAACCUCUGUCUUCAGGGACGAAAAAAGACGGUACCUGAGGAGGAAGCUCCGGCUAACUACGUGCCAGCAGCCGCGGUAAUACGUAGGGAGCGAGCGUUGUCCGGAAUUACUGGGUGUAAAGGGAGCGUAGGCGGGAUCGCAAGUCAGAUGUGAAAACUAUGGGCUUAACCCAUAAACUGCAUUUGAAACUGUGGUUCUUGAGUGAAGUAGAGGUAAGCGGAAUUCCUAGUGUAGCGGUGAAAUGCGUAGAUAUUAGGAGGAACAUCAGUGGCGAAGGCGGCUUACUGGGCUUUAACUGACGCUGAGGCUCGAAAGCGUGGGGAGCAAACAGGAUUAGAUACCCUGGUAGUCCACGCCGUAAACGAUGAUUACUAGGUGUGGGGGGACUGACCCCUUCCGUGCCGCAGCAAACGCAAUAAGUAAUCCACCUGGGGAGUACGACCGCAAGGUUGAAACUCAAAGGAAUUGACGGGGGCCCGCACAAGCAGUGGAGUAUGUGGAUUAAUUCGAAGCAACGCGAAGAACCUUACCAGGUCCUGACAUCGUAUGCAUAGCUCAGAGAUGAGUGAAAUCUCUUCGGAGACAUAUAGACAGGUGGUGCAUGGUUGUCGUCAGCUCGUGUCGUGAGAUGUUGGGUUAAGUCCCGCAACGAGCGCAACCCUUACUGUUAGUUGCUACGCAAGAGCACUCUAGCAGGACUGCCGUUGACAAAACGGAGGAAGGUGGGGAUGACGUCAAAUCAUCAUGCCCCUUAUGACCUGGGCCUCACACGUACUACAAUGGCUGUCAACAGAGGGAAGCAAAGCCGCGAGGUGGAGCGAACCCCUAAAAGCAGUCUUAGUUCGGAUUGUAGGCUGCAACCCGCCUACAUGAAGUCGGAAUUGCUAGUAAUCGCAGAUCAGCAUGCUGCGGUGAAUACGUUCCCGGGCCUUGUACACACCGCCCGUCACGCCAUGGGAGUCGGUAACACCCGAAGCCUGUAGUCUAACCGCAAGGAGGACGCAGUCGAAGGUGGGAUUGAUGACUGGGGUGAAGUCGUAACAAGGUA